This 66-nucleotide transfer RNA is filed under the name Scarelus brastagiensis. RNAcentral's name for it is "tRNA-Leu". Lineage: Eukaryota; Metazoa; Arthropoda; Insecta; Coleoptera; Lycidae. The record is from RNAcentral.
AUUAUUACUUUGGCAGAUUAGUGUAUUUGAUUUAGGGUCAAAGAAUGUAGGUUUAUACAGGUAAUA